RNAcentral lists this transfer RNA (77 nucleotides) under Pseudobdellovibrionaceae bacterium. RNAcentral's name for it is "Bdellovibrionaceae bacterium (activated sludge metagenome) tRNA-Pro". It matches the Rfam family "tRNA". Rfam says of the family: Transfer RNA (tRNA) molecules are approximately 80 nucleotides in length. Their secondary structure includes four short double-helical elements and three loops (D, anti-codon, and T loops). Further hydrogen bonds mediate the characteristic L-shaped molecular structure. tRNAs have two regions of fundamental functional importance: the anti-codon, which is responsible for specific mRNA codon recognition, and the 3' end, to which the tRNAs corresponding amino acid is attached (by aminoacyl-tRNA synthetases). tRNAs cope with the degeneracy of the genetic code in two manners: having more than one tRNA (with a specific anti-codon) for a particular amino acid; and 'wobble' base-pairing, i.e. permitting non-standard base-pairing at the 3rd anti-codon position. Lineage: Bacteria; Pseudomonadati; Bdellovibrionota; Bdellovibrionia; Bdellovibrionales; Pseudobdellovibrionaceae. The record is from RNAcentral.
CGGCGUGUGGCGCAGUCUGGUAGCGCACUUGCUUGGGGUGCAAGGGGUCGUCGGUUCAAAUCCGGCCACGCCGACCA